CCCUUAGACGUUCUGGGCCGCACGCGCGCUACACUGACACAGGCAACGAGCUUUCCUUUACCGAAAGGUAUGGGCAAUCUUUUGAAACUGUGUCGUGCUGGGGAUAGAUCCUUGCAAUUUUUGAUCUUAAACGAGGAAUUCCUAGUAAGCGCGAGUCAUCAACUCGCGUUGAUUACGUCCCUGCCCUUUGUACACACCGCCCGUCGCUACUACCGAUUGAAUGGCUUAGUGAGGCCUCAGGAUCCGCGCUUAAUGUGUGGAGAAUUUGGACAAACUACGUCAUUUAGAGGAAGUAAAAGUCGUAACA
RNAcentral lists this ribosomal RNA (307 nucleotides) under uncultured eukaryote. Its description in RNAcentral is "partial 18S ribosomal RNA". It matches the Rfam family "Eukaryotic small subunit ribosomal RNA", at positions 1470 to 1796 of the family's 1831-position model. The record is from RNAcentral.